Non-coding RNA from Vicia faba (fava bean), 231 nucleotides. The record is from the annotation of a GenBank genome assembly. NCBI's taxonomy places the organism in Eukaryota, Viridiplantae, Streptophyta, Magnoliopsida, Fabales, Fabaceae.
AUGCGUUGGUUGUCUUGUUUCACACAUAACUUGAUUUUCUGCACUAGCCACAGGCCUCUUUUCGUUCUCGACCUCCGUAAGCACCCAUUUUCCGGCGAAGAUCUCAAAUCCAACAAUCACUCGGAAGCAUCAUCACCAUCGUUUUUCCGUGUAACAACUGUUAGAGGAACCUUAGUUGCUGUUGAGUUAGAGGAUGGCGUAAUGACCUUCUUCGUGGUUUAUCGCUUUUGA